RNAcentral lists this ribosomal RNA (494 nucleotides) under uncultured bacterium. RNAcentral's name for it is "partial 16S ribosomal RNA". It matches the Rfam family "Bacterial small subunit ribosomal RNA", at positions 28 to 507 of the family's 1533-position model. The record is from RNAcentral.
GACGAACGCUGGCGGCGCGCUUAACACAUGCAAGUCGAACGGAAAGGCCUGCUUUCCCUUGUGGAUUGCGGGUACUCGAGUGGCGAACGGGUGAGUAGCACGUGAGUGAUCUGCCCCCAACUUGGGUAUAAGCCUGGGAAACUGGGUCUAAUUCCCGAUAGGACUGCAGGGUGGUGCCUGUGGUGGAAAACGAUUUUCUAGUGGUUGGGGAUGAGCUCGCGGCCUAUCAGCUUGUUGGUGGGGUAAUGGCCUACCAAGGCGGCGACGGGUAGCCGGCCUGAGAGGGUGGACGGCCACAUUGGGACUGAGAUACGGCCCAGACCCCUACGGGAGGCAGCAGUGGGGAAUAUUGCACAAUGGGCGGAAGCCUGAUGCAGCGACGCCGCGUGGGGGAUGACGGCCUUCGGGUUGUAAACUCCUUUCGACCGCGAGGAAGCCACCUGGUUGGAAGGGUGGUGACGGUAGUGGUAGAAGAAGCACCGGCUAACUACGUG